UGUGGCUGUCUUUACUUUUGCCUUCAGGGA
Molecule: non-coding RNA, 30 nt
Filed under: Mus musculus (house mouse)
Lineage: Eukaryota; Metazoa; Chordata; Mammalia; Rodentia; Muridae
Source: RNAcentral